This 128-nucleotide small RNA is filed under the name Cervus elaphus hippelaphus. The record is from RNAcentral. Lineage: Eukaryota; Metazoa; Chordata; Mammalia; Artiodactyla; Cervidae.
GCUUGGUGGAGUGACACACACCUAUAGUCCCAGCUUUGGGAAGCUGAGGCAAGAAGAUUGCUUGAGCCCAGGAGUUCUGGGCUGUAGUACACUAUGCUGAUCCGGUGUCUGCGCUAAGUUUGGCAUCA